This 240-nucleotide unclassified non-coding RNA is filed under the name soil metagenome. Its description in RNAcentral is "partial contains 5.8S ribosomal RNA, internal transcribed spacer 2, and large subunit ribosomal RNA". The record is from RNAcentral.
AACGCACGAGACCUGCGGACCUGCGGAAGGAUCAUUAUUGAAUAAACUUGAUGGGUUUGUAGCUGGUCUUUGGGACAUGUGCACAAUCUGUCUUGCUUUUCAUUCAUCCACCUGUGCACUUGUGUAGUCACUUUGCAGAAAUAUAGGAGAUGUGAUUAAAAUCAACCGAUAGGCUGGAUAUGAGGUGUGCUCACUCGGAGCUUUCCUCUGGGUGAUCACUGAUCCAUUUCGCAAGGAGAC